Molecule: long non-coding RNA, 974 nt
Filed under: Citrus maxima (pomelo)
Lineage: Eukaryota; Viridiplantae; Streptophyta; Magnoliopsida; Sapindales; Rutaceae
Description: long non-coding RNA (CMAX_LNC002037)
Source: RNAcentral
UUCAUUUGGUUUGAAUAACCAAGCAUAUAGGCUGUGGGAGCUCACAACAGCUAAAGCUACAGUAGCUCUCAAGUCUCAAUACAAGACGUGUGUAAACUCAGCUAGGUUUAUAAUUACUUUUUGUUGCUGUCUAAUUUUUUUGUCCAAAUAUCUCUAUUAGGAACGACAGUUCAACUUUUUUGAAAAAAAUAUUACAUACUACUCAAUUUACAAAUAGCAAAGCCUAUAGAAAUAUACGUAUAAUCAAAAUCUAAAGUGUAUAAUUGAAUACCAACAUAGAAAAUCAAAGAAAAUAACUCUCAUAACUAUUAGAAGGCCUCUAAUCCUCCACCUUAGAGUUAAAAGGAGGUUAUGCCACCAAUCCUCUUGGAAUGAACGCACAAAUCUUUCAUUUUAAGUUGCCAUAUCAAGUCAUGCGUGUAGCUACUUCCUUGCUCAUUUCAAAAUUAAUUUCACCAUCCCUUAGGACUUAGAAAAACAAAUGACAUACAACAUUAUCUCUUAUAUCCCCAAAUAAUUAAAAAAAAACCCUUAAAAAAAAAGAUAGAUAGAGAGACUAAGUAUGUCAAAUUUUAAAACGUUACAUUAGAAAUCUACCUAACCAAUAAAGUGUUGGCUCCACUGGCAAUGGAGUCCCCUUAAGUGGAUUGACUGGGUUUGCUCCCCAGUUCGAGUCACAGGGAAGUCGCCUUUGUUGGGAGAACCUGUGCCUCUCGGUUCGAGCGGGGACUUCUAGUCUAGGUUGUGGUACAGGCUUAAAGGUGCCUACAACAGUUGGGGCCCUCCCCAGGAUACCUCGUGGUCAAAAUAAAAAAAAAAAUCUACCUAUAUAUUAGGGUACACAUGAGGGUUUGAUACUCAUUUUCCCUUUAAGAAUAAACACCCAAAACAUUAAGAUUUGCAUUAAUGCAUAGAAUUUUAUGGAUGACUGCAUAACAAACUGAUAACGAAUAUAACCAAGUUUAUUAGUUCGG